Molecule: ribosomal RNA, 292 nt
Filed under: uncultured prokaryote
Description: partial 16S ribosomal RNA
Rfam family: Bacterial small subunit ribosomal RNA
Source: RNAcentral
GUGUCAGCAGCCGCGGUAAUACGGAGGGUGCGAGCGUUACCCGGAUUUACUGGGCGUAAAGGGCGUGUAGGCGGUUUUCUAAGUCCGGGGCUAAAGACCAGGGCUCAACCCUGGGUUUGCCUUGGAUACUGGAAAGCUCGACGGCUGGAGGGGGCAGCGGAAUUUCCGGAGUAGCGGUGAAAUGCGCAGAUACCGGAAGGAACGCCAAUAGCGAAGGCAGCUGCCUGGACAGUACGUGACGCUGAGGCGCGAAAGCGUGGGGAGCAAACCGGAUUAGAAACCCUCGUAGUCC